Mauremys mutica (yellowpond turtle) is the source of this 455-nucleotide long non-coding RNA. RefSeq lists it as uncharacterized. The record is from RefSeq and is a predicted model, not a curated record. The transcript is spliced from 3 exons. Lineage: Eukaryota; Metazoa; Chordata; Testudines; Geoemydidae.
UCCCAGCCCAGAGAGAAGGGAGGUGGUGGCAGUAUCAGAGGGGGACCGUAACUCUAACAUAGGAAGAAGUAAGCAGCUUAAAUGGGAGAGCUCAACCUAGCCCAGAAAGGUUGGAUGCUGGUGAAGAGCAAUGAGAGAGAGCGCCACUCACUCAGGGGAAAGGAGAGGAAUGUUGCAACCCUCUGAACAGAGUAUUUCAAAGGCACAUGGAUGUGUAUAGAAAUGGCAGGGUCAGGGUUAAGGACAUGCAAAGAUCCAGGCCCAUUUGGAGACUUUGAGAAGAGAGAGAAAAGCUCCUGAGAGUUAAGAUGACUGAAGAGGGGAAAAGCCAGGAGUAUCUGAUACAGACACAAACCGAGAGACAGAAGAUUGUGUCUGAAUUUCAGCAACUGAGGAAGUUCCUGCAGGAACAAGAUCGACUCCUGCUGGCCCAGCUGGAAAAUCUGGAAAAGGAG